GACGAACGCUGGCGGCGUGCUUAACACAUGCAAGUCGAACGGAAAGGCCCUGCUUGCAGGGUACUCGAGUGGCGAACGGGUGAGUAACACGUGGGUGAUCUGCCCUGCACUUCGGGAUAAGCCUGGGAAACUGGGUCUAAUACCGGAUAGGAGCCAUUUUUAGUGUGAUGGUUGGAAAGUUUUUUCGGUGUAGGAUGAGCUCGCGGCCUAUCAGCUUGUUGGUGGGGUAAUGGCCUACCAAGGCGGCGACGGGUAGCCGGCCUGAGAGGGUGGACGGCCACAUUGGGACUGAGAUACGGCCCAGACUCCUACGGGAGGCAGCAGUGGGGAAUAUUGCACAAUGGGCGCAAGCCUGAUGCAGCGACGCCGCGUGGGGGAUGACGGACUUCGGGUUGUAAACUCCGUUCGCUAGGGACGAAGCUUUUUGUGACGGUACCUAGAUAAGAAGCACCGGCUAACUACGUG
Molecule: ribosomal RNA, 465 nt
Filed under: uncultured bacterium
Lineage: Bacteria
Description: partial 16S ribosomal RNA
Rfam family: Bacterial small subunit ribosomal RNA
Source: RNAcentral